UACGUAGGGGGCGAGCGUUGUCCGGAAUCAUUGGGCGUAAAGCGCGCGUAGGCGGCCAGGUAAGUCCGGUGUGAAAGUCACAGGCUCAACCUGUGAAUGCCGCUGGAAACUGCCUGGCUUGAGUCCGGAAGGGGCGAGUGGAAUUCCUGGUGUAGCGGUGAAAUGCGCAGAUAUCAGGAGGAACACCAAUGGCGAAGGCAGCGCGCUGGAACGGUACUGACGCUGAGGCGCGAAAGCGUGGGGAGCGAACAGG
Molecule: ribosomal RNA, 253 nt
Filed under: uncultured bacterium
Lineage: Bacteria
Description: partial 16S ribosomal RNA
Rfam family: Bacterial small subunit ribosomal RNA
Source: RNAcentral